This 68-nucleotide transfer RNA is filed under the name Amorophaga japonica. Its description in RNAcentral is "tRNA-Asp". Lineage: Eukaryota; Metazoa; Arthropoda; Insecta; Lepidoptera; Tineidae. The record is from RNAcentral.
AAAGAAUUAGUUAAAAAAUAACAUAAAUAUGUCAAAUUUAAAUUAUUAUAUUAAAUUAAUAUUCUUUU